Jaculus jaculus (lesser Egyptian jerboa) is the source of this 68-nucleotide small nucleolar RNA. Its record names the gene SNORD42. It matches the Rfam family "Small nucleolar RNA SNORD42". Rfam says of the family: snoRNA U42 is found in intron 3 of the ribosomal protein L23a (RPL23a) gene in humans and is also present in mice. The record is from Ensembl. NCBI's taxonomy places the organism in Eukaryota, Metazoa, Chordata, Mammalia, Rodentia, Dipodidae.
ACGCAAGUGAUGGAAAAUUCACUAUUUGGAAAAGAAUGACAACAGCAACAAAGGAACCACUGAUGUGC